RNAcentral lists this ribosomal RNA (462 nucleotides) under uncultured bacterium. RNAcentral describes it as "bacterial SSU rRNA". It matches the Rfam family "Bacterial small subunit ribosomal RNA", at positions 33 to 507 of the family's 1533-position model. The record is from RNAcentral.
GACGCUGGCGGCGUGCUUAACACAUGCAAGUCGAACGGAAAGGCCUCUUUCGGGGGGUACUCGAGUGGCGAACGGGUGAGUAACACGUGAGUAACCUGCCCUUGACUUUGGGAUAACUUCAGGAAACUGGGGCUAAUACCGGAUAGGAGCUCCUGCUGCAUGGUGGGGUUGGAAAGUUUCGGCGGUUGGGGAUGGACUCGCGGCUUAUCAGCUUGUUGGUGGGGUAGUGGCUUACCAAGGCUUUGACGGGUAGCCGGCCUGAGAGGGUGACCGGCCACAUUGGGACUGAGAUACGGCCCAGACUCCUACGGGAGGCAGCAGUGGGGAAUAUUGCACAAUGGGUGGAAGCCUGAUGCAGCAACGCCGUGUGCGGGAUGACGGCCUUCGGGUUGUAAACCGCUUUCGCUCAUGACGAAGCUUUGUGUGACGGUAGUGGGUAAAGAAGCACCGGCUAACUACGUG